AACGAACGCUGGCGGCAUGCCUAACACAUGCAAGUCGAACGAGGCCGUCGGGUCUAGUGGCGCACGGGUGCGUCACGCGUGGGAACCUGCCCUCAGGUUCGGAAUAACUCCCCGAAAGGGGUGCUAAUACCGGAUAAUGUCGCCGGACCAAAGAUUUGUUGCCGUUGGAUGGGCCGGCGUUGGUUUAGCUUGUUGGUAGGGUAAAAGCCUGCCAUGGCGGCGGUCCAUAGCUGGUCUGAGAGGAUGCUCAGCCACACUGGGGCUGUGACACGGCCCAGACUCCUGCGGGAGGCGGCAGUGGGUUGUGGUGGAAAUGGCGCUGGAGCCUGAUCGAGCGGUGCCGCUUGAGUGAUGUAGGCCGUAGAGUUGUAGGGCUCGUUUACCCGUGAUGAUCAUGGCUGUACCGGGAGAAUCAGCUCCGGCUAACUCCGUG
RNAcentral lists this ribosomal RNA (433 nucleotides) under uncultured bacterium. RNAcentral's name for it is "partial 16S ribosomal RNA". It matches the Rfam family "Bacterial small subunit ribosomal RNA", at positions 28 to 507 of the family's 1533-position model. The record is from RNAcentral.